AAGUUUGAUCCUGGCUCAGAAUGAACGCUGACGACAUGCCUUAUACAUGCAAGUCGGACGAAAAGUGGUGUUUCCAGUGACAAAUGGGUGAGUAAAGUGUAAGAACCUACCAUUUGGAGAGAAACAACAUUUGGAAACUACUGUUAAUACCUGUAGGUUGAGGAGCAGAAAGAGGUUGAGGAACAGAAAGAGGAAUGCGCCUGAAGAAGGACUGUGUCUGAUUAACUAGUUGUUGAGACAAUAACUUAUCAAGGUGAUGAUCAGUAACGGAUCUAAGAGAAUAAACAGUCACACUAAGAUUAAGACAUGACCUAAACUCCUACAGGAGACAACAAUGAAAACUUUUCCGCAAUAAACAAAAGCAUGACAAAGCAAUACUGCAUGAAAGUAAAAAACCUACGGUUCAUGAACUUCUUUUCCGGAAGAAGAAACAAUGAAAGUCUCCUAUACAUAUAAAUAAAAUUUAAAUAAAAUACUUGGAGUAAUAAAUAUUAAUAGUAUUUUUU
Molecule: non-coding RNA, 506 nt
Filed under: Vigna radiata var. radiata (mung bean)
Lineage: Eukaryota; Viridiplantae; Streptophyta; Magnoliopsida; Fabales; Fabaceae
Description: Bacterial small subunit ribosomal RNA
Rfam family: Bacterial small subunit ribosomal RNA
Source: Rfam by way of RNAcentral